AAGGGUAUAGCUCAGUGGUCGAGUGUGUGCUUAGCAUGCACAAGGUCCUGGGUUCAGUCCCCAGUACCUCCA
RNAcentral lists this transfer RNA (72 nucleotides) under Camelus bactrianus (Bactrian camel). It matches the Rfam family "tRNA". From Rfam's summary of the family: Transfer RNA (tRNA) molecules are approximately 80 nucleotides in length. The record is from Rfam by way of RNAcentral. RNAcentral also lists the same sequence under 2 other names. Lineage: Eukaryota; Metazoa; Chordata; Mammalia; Artiodactyla; Camelidae.